This is a long non-coding RNA of Felis catus (domestic cat), 1792 nucleotides long. RefSeq lists it as uncharacterized. The transcript has 4 exons. Lineage: Eukaryota; Metazoa; Chordata; Mammalia; Carnivora; Felidae. The record is from RefSeq and is a predicted model, not a curated record.
UGAGGUUGCCCGAGGCGAGUGUUGUUUGUGUAAGUUUCCUUGCACAGGUAGGCCAGCCACCUACCUAUCUGGAACCCUUUGCCUCCUCCUUCAGUCUCUCUGCCUUCCAGGCACAGGGGCCAGUCUGCAAACCAGCAACCACGGAGGUGAGAAGACUGGAACAUCUAAAAAGUGCUGAAGGAAGAGAACUGUCGGUCUGGAAUUCUAUAGCUGACAAAAAUGUCCUUUCCAAAGGAGACCAAAUGAAGUCUUUCUAAGUGAAGGAAAACUAUGAUAGUUUUCCAAUAGCAAGCAUGCGCUCAAAGAAAUGCUAAAGCAAGUUUUUCAGGUUGGAAAGAAAUAAUAGCAGAAGGAAACUUGGAACGCCAGGAAUAAAGGAGAAACAAGAAAAGUGGUAAAUAUCUGGAUUUCAAGCCUGCUCCUCUAAAGACCAGAACCCCUUCAUUAGCUCUCCUAGAUACCCAGCCUGUCCACUGCAGAUCUUGGAACUCAUCAGUGUCCAUAAUGAAUGUUUGAAUUUCAUCAGUGAUGGAAAAAAAUCCUUAAUAUACUAUAGAGAAAUGUGCUCAGAAGAAAUUUGGAAAUACCCAGAGAAUUCUAACCACUACAAUAAGCCAGCCACAGUGGGAAUCAACCUUAAUUGAGAUAUCACUGACAUCAUCUGUACUGUAGGAUUCUUGGAAGAAUUACUUAAAUGUAUAUUGAGUGCCCAAGAUCAUAAUACAACAAGUGCCAGCUACUGUUUCCAGUACAUCCCCAGUGGAAUGUAUUUUCCACCCUCCAUGGCUCACAUACAUCACUUUGGAGAUCAGUCUCUUAAACUGUUAUUUUCUAUAAUUAUAUAUGUCUUCUAGUUAAAGACCCCACUCGGUGUCUUAAUUUUAUAUGUCGCUUAAUAUUUCAGUCUUUACUUGGAAUUGAGAAAAUAGAAUGCAUUAAGAUGAAUUGCUAUAUGUUUAAAAUUUCACUCCUCAGUCAUUUGAUAUUGGCCAGAAUGUUUCUCUAUGUGUAGAUGUUUCAUCAUCCGUCAAUUAUAUAAAUCUUCUUUUUCCCUACACCAAAAGAUUAUUGUAAGAAAUGGUCUAGUGUGUGAAUAUUACUUUAAAUCCAAGAGUGGCAAGGAGACUAAAAUACAUUAUUAGAUUGGAGGCACUAUGCUUGGUGCUUUUAAUUAAACUCCUAAGUAAAUGUUAUUAAAAUGAUUCCUAAUUGUUGAGGAAGUAUAACUAGAAGUAUGCUGUAAAUGAUGAUGAAAUAUUUGUCUUAAUUGUUUGAGGGGAAAGUCCUAAGUGAAAUACUCAUAUGCUGGUAAGAAUAUUAGGGGUAUGUGCAAGUUAUCCAAAUUAAAACGAACUUCCCUAUAAUUGCACUUCAAAAGAAGCUUUGUGGUACUCAAAACACAUUUUGCUAAAAAUUUUCAUUCUUGGCUAAGGAGAAAAACUGUUAAGUCUCUUUAUCUUUUAUUUUUGCACAUUCCCUGGGGGCACUGCCCCCCCCCCCCAAUUUACGAGUAUAUAAGGACUUUGUUGUGCUACUUAAAUCUAGUUUUCCAUUAACAGCUGCGUUGACUUUUUUUCUUUCCAAAGAAAAAUCAGAGAAAGUAUUAGCGUAGUAACAAGAAGCUAUGAAAUGUAUCUAGACAUAAGUAAUCUCUGCUUUCUAAAUCAAAGGAGUUGUGUACAUUAAGCAUGUUUGAAGUAAUACAUGGAUUUACAAUGAAAACUUCCCCUUUGACUUUCUUUUUAAUUUCCAGUUUUAUCGAUGUGUAAUUGACAAAUAAAAAUUGUAUGUA